ACGGCCAUACUACGUUGAAAACACCGGUUCCUCAUCCGAUCACCAAAGUUAAGCAAUGUCAGACCUGGACAGUACUUGGGAGGGUGACCACCUGGAAACACCGGGUGUAACUGUAGGCU
This is a non-coding RNA of Cordylochernes scorpioides, 119 nucleotides long. The record is from the annotation of a GenBank genome assembly. NCBI's taxonomy places the organism in Eukaryota, Metazoa, Arthropoda, Arachnida, Pseudoscorpiones, Chernetidae.